GGGUGACUGCGUACCUUUUGUAUAAUGGGUCAGCGACUUAUAUUCUGUAGCAAGGUUAACCGUAUAGGGGAGCCGCAGGGAAACCGAGUCUUAACUGGGCGUUAAGUUGCAGGGUAUAGACCCGAAACCCGGUGAUCUAGCCAUGGGCAGGUUGAAGGUUGGGUAACACUAACUGGAGGACCGAACCGACUAAUGUUGAAAAAUUAGCGGAUGACUUGUGGCUGGGGGUGAAAGGCCAAUCAAACCGGGAGAUAGCUGGUUCUCCCCGAAAGCUAUUUAGGUAGCGCCUCGUGAAUUCAUCUUCGGGGGUAGAGCACUGUUUCGGCUAGGGGGUCAUCCCGACUUACCAACCCGAUGCAAACUACGAAUACCGAAGAAUGUUAUCACGGGAGACACACGGCGGGUGCUAACGUCCGUCGUGAAGAGGGAAACAACCCAGACCGCCAGCUAAGGUCCCAAAGUCAUGGUUAAGUGGGAAACGAUGUGGGAAGGCCCAGACAGCCAGGAUGUUGGCUUAGAAGCAGCCAUCAUUUAAAGAAAGCGUAAUAGCUCACUGGUCGAGUCGGCCUGCGCGGAAGAUGUAACGGGGCUAAACCAUGCACCGAAGCUGCGGCAGCGACACUAUGUGUUGUUGGGUAGGGGAGCGUUCUGUAAGCCGUUGAAGGUAGCCUGUGAGGGUUGCUGGAGGUAUCAGAAGUGCGAAUGCUGACAUAAGUAACGAUAAUGCGGGUGAAAAACCCGCACGCCGGAAGACCAAGGGUUCCUGUCCAACGUUAAUCGGGGCAGGGUGAGUCGACCCCUAAGGCGAGGCCGAAAGGCGUAGUCGAUGGGAAACAGGUUAAUAUUCCUGUACUCGGUGUUACUGCGAAGGGGGGACGGAGAAGGCUAUGUUGGCCGGGCGACGGUUGUCCCGGUUUAAGCGUGUAGGUGUGUGUUCCAGGUAAAUCCGGUUCACUAUUAACACUGAGGCGUGAUGACGAGGCACUACGGUGCUGAAGUGACAAAUGCCCUGCUUCCAGGAAAAGCCUCUAAGCAUCAGGUAACAUCAAAUCGUACCCCAAACCGACACAGGUGGUCAGGUAGAGAAUACCAAGGCGCUUGAGAGAACUCGGGUGAAGGAACUAGGCAAAAUGGUGCCGUAACUUCGGGAGAAGGCACGCUGAUGGUAAGUGAAGCGACUUGCUCGUGGAGCUGAAAUCAGUCGAAGAUACCAGCUGGCUGCAACUGUUUAUUAAAAACACAGCACUGUGCAAACACGAAAGUGGACGUAUACGGUGUGACGCCUGCCCGGUGCCGGAAGGUUAAUUGAUGGGGUUAUCCGUAAGGAGAAGCUCUUGAUCGAAGCCCCGGUAAACGGCGGCCGUAACUAUAACGGUCCUAAGGUAGCGAAAUUCCUUGUCGGGUAAGUUCCGACCUGCACGAAUGGCGUAAUGAUGGCCAGGCUGUCUCCACCCGAGACUCAGUGAAAUUGAACUCGCUGUGAAGAUGCAGUGUACCCGCGGCAAGACGGAAAGACCCCGUGAACCUUUACUAUAGCUUGACACUGAACACUGGUCCUUGAUGUGUAGGAUAGGUGGGAGGCUUUGAAGUGUGGACGCCAGUCUGCAUGGAGCCAUCCUUGAAAUACCACCCUUUAAUGGCUGGUGUUCUAACGUGGGCCCCUAAUCGGGGUUGCGGACAGUGUCUGGUGGGUAGUUUGACUGGGGCGGUCUCCUCCUAAAGAGUAACGGAGGAGCACGAAGGUCAGCUAAUCCUGGUCGGACAUCAGGAGGUUAGUGCAAUGGCAUAAGCUGGCUUGACUGCGAGCGUGACGGCGCGAGCAGGUGCGAAAGCAGGUCAUAGUGAUCCGGUGGUUCUGAAUGGAAGGGCCAUCGCUCAACGGAUAAAAGGUACUCCGGGGAUAACAGGCUGAUACCGCCCAAGAGUUCAUAUCGACGGCGGUGUUUGGCACCUCGAUGUCGGCUCAUCACAUCCUGGGGCUGAAGUAGGUCCCAAGGGUAUGGCUGUUCGCCAUUUAAAGUGGUACGCGAGCUGGGUUUAGAACGUCGUGAGACAGUUCGGUCCCUAUCUGCCGUGGGCGCUGGAGAAUUGAGGGGGGCUGCUCCUAGUACGAGAGGACCGGAGUGGACGCAUCACUGGUGUUCGGGUUGUCAUGCCAAUGGCAUUGCCCGGUAGCUAAAUGCGGAAGAGAUAAGUGCUGAAAGCAUCUAAGCACGAAACUUGCCCCGAGAUGAGUUCUCCCUGACCCUUUAAGGGUCCUGAAGGAACGUUGAAGACGACGACGUUGAUAGGCCGGGUGUGUAAGCGCAGCGAUGCGUUGAGCUAACCGGUACUAAUGAACCGUGAGGCUUAACCUUACAACGCCGAAG
RNAcentral lists this ribosomal RNA (2369 nucleotides) under Klebsiella michiganensis. Its description in RNAcentral is "bacterial LSU rRNA". It matches the Rfam family "Bacterial large subunit ribosomal RNA", at positions 591 to 2925 of the family's 2925-position model. Lineage: Bacteria; Pseudomonadati; Pseudomonadota; Gammaproteobacteria; Enterobacterales; Enterobacteriaceae. The record is from RNAcentral.